This 619-nucleotide ribosomal RNA is filed under the name Tokoprymno sp. B LFD-2015. RNAcentral's name for it is "eukaryotic LSU rRNA". It matches the Rfam family "Eukaryotic large subunit ribosomal RNA", at positions 668 to 1267 of the family's 3401-position model. The record is from RNAcentral. Lineage: Eukaryota; Metazoa; Cnidaria; Anthozoa; Scleralcyonacea; Primnoidae.
AAGGAGUCUAACAUGUGUGCGAGUCUUAGGGUGAUUGAAACCCACAGGCACAAUGAAAGUAAAGGCUGAUUGCAGCUGAAGUGAGAUCUCUUUGCCACGGCAGAGAGCGCAUCAUUGACCGACCUAUUCUACUCCUAGAAAGGUUUGAGUAAGAGCACAUCUGUUGGGACCCGAAAGAUGGUGAACUAUGCUUGAGUAGGGCGAAGCCAGAGGAAACUCUGGUGGAGGCUCGUAGCGAUUCUGACGUGCAAAUCGAUCGUCAAACUUGAGUAUAGGGGCGAAAGACUAAUCGAACCAUCUAGUAGCUGGUUCCCUCCGAAGUUUCCCUUAGGAUAGCUGGAACUCGGAACAGUUUUAUCAGGUAAAGCGAAUGAUUAGAGGUCUUAGGGUUGAAACAACCUUAACCUAUUCUCAAACUUUAAAUUGGUAAGAAGCCCGACUUGCUUAAUUGAAGUAGGGCACAGAAUGAGAGUUCUUAGUGGGCCAUUUUUGGUAAGCAGAACUGGCGAUGCGGGAUGAACCGAACGCUGAGUUAAGGCGCCUAAAUCGACGCUCAUCAGACCCCACAAAAGGUGUUGGUUGAUCCAGACAGCAGGACGGUGGCCAUGGAAGUCGGAAC